RNAcentral lists this ribosomal RNA (253 nucleotides) under uncultured bacterium. Its description in RNAcentral is "partial 16S ribosomal RNA". It matches the Rfam family "Bacterial small subunit ribosomal RNA", at positions 524 to 776 of the family's 1533-position model. The record is from RNAcentral.
GACGAACCGUGCGAACGUUGUUCGGAAUCACUGGGCUUAAAGGGUGCGUAGGCGGCUAUCUAAGCAGGGUGUGAAAGCCCCCGGCUCAACCGGGGAAUUGCGUUCUGAACUGGAUGGCUGGAGUGAGAUAGGGGUGUGUGGAACUUCCAGUGGAGCGGUGAAAUGUGUUGAUAUUGGAAGGAACGCCGGUGGCGAAAGCGACACACUGGGUCUCAACUGACGCUGAGGCACGAAAGCCAGGGGAGCGAACGGG